RNAcentral lists this ribosomal RNA (472 nucleotides) under uncultured bacterium. RNAcentral describes it as "bacterial SSU rRNA". It matches the Rfam family "Bacterial small subunit ribosomal RNA", at positions 30 to 514 of the family's 1533-position model. The record is from RNAcentral.
CGAACGUUAGCGGCGGGCUUAACACAUGCAAGUCGAGCGAGAAAGGGGCUUCGGCCCUGAGUACAGCGGCGGACGGGUGAAUAACACGUAGGUAACCUUCCUUUCAGCGGGGGACAACGGUCCGAAAGGACCGCUAAUACCGCAUACGUUCCCUGGGACCUCGGUCCUGGGGAGGAAAGGCCCGCAAGGGCCACUGGAUGAGGGGCCUACGUAGCAUCAGCUAGUUGGUGGGGUAAUGGCCUACCAAGGCGAAGACGCUUAGCUGGUCUGAGAGGAUAAUCAGCCACACUGGGACUGAGACACGGCCCAGACUCCUACGGGAGGCAGCAGUGGGGAAUAUUGGACAAUGGGCGCAAGCCUGAUCCAGCCACGCCGCGUGAGUGAUGAAGGCCUUCGGGUCGUAAAGCUCUUUUGGCGGGGACGGAUAAUGACGGUACCCGCAGAAUAAGCCCGGCUAACUUCGUGCCAGCAG